Papilio polytes (common Mormon) is the source of this 338-nucleotide long non-coding RNA. RefSeq lists it as uncharacterized. NCBI's taxonomy places the organism in Eukaryota, Metazoa, Arthropoda, Insecta, Lepidoptera, Papilionidae. The record is from RefSeq and is a predicted model, not a curated record. The transcript has 3 exons.
UCAACAUUGUCACUUAACAAUUGUCAUCAUGAACAAAAUUUACAAAUAAUUUAAUUUACACUUUUCGUAUCCUUUACUAUGUAAAAUCAACAGUGUAGAUGUGAUCUUGUAUCACAUGUGUUUUUGCAUCUGUGUACCCCAGUUGUGCUGUUAUCCUUCUCUAUUCAGUCCUUGUCUCGCUUGCCUGCCAUUCUGCGUUAAAGGUAUAAAAUGGUGCCAAUGCUUCAUCGUUAACUACGACAGCGAGGAAAACUUGCAUCCAUCUACACAACAGACCAACAAAAACCAAGAUCGUUCUAAAUGAUUCAUUCUUUGGAUAAUAAAUUUGUAUAUAUGUA